UACCUUACUACAUGGAUAACCGUGGUAAUUCUAGAGCUAAUACAUGCUAAAAACCUCGACUUCGGAAGGGGUGUAUUUAUUAGAUAAAAAACCAAUGCCCUUCGGGGCUCUCGGUUGAUUCAUAAUAACUUAACGAAUCGCAUGGCCUUGCGCCGGCGAUGGUUCAUUCAAAUUUCUGCCCUAUCAACUUUCGAUUGUAAGGUAGUGGCCUACAAUGGUUGCAACGGGUAACGGGGUAUAAGGGUACGACUCCGGAGAGGGAGCCUGAGAAACGGCUACCACAUCCAAGGAAGGCAGCAGGCGCGCAAAUUACCCAAUCCCGACACGGGGAGGUAGUGACAAUAAAUACUGAUACAGGGCUCUUUUGGGUCUUGUAAUUGGAAUGAGAACGACGUAAACACCCUAUCGAGGAACAAUUGGAGGGCAAGUCUGGUGCAUUCGCGGCCAGCAGCCGCGGUAAUUCCAGCUCCAAUAGCGUAUAUUAAAGUUGUUGCAGUUAAAAAGCUCGUAGUUGAAACUUGGGCCUGGCUGUCCGGUCCGCCUCACCGCGUGCACUGGUUCGGCCGGGCCUUUCCUUCUGGGGAGCCGCAUGCCCUUCAUUGGGUGUGCCGGGGAACCAGGACUUUUACUUUGAAAAAAUUAGAGUGUUCAAAGCAGGCAUUUGCUCGGAUACAUUAGCAUGGAAUAAUAGAAUAGGACGUGUGGUUCUAUUUUGUUGGUUUCUAGGACCGCCGUAAUGAUUAAUAGGGAUAGUCGGGGGCGUCUGUAUUCAAUUGUCAGAGGUGAAAUUCUUGGAUUUAUUGAAGACAAACUACUGCGAAAGCAUUCGCCAAGGAUGUUUUCAUUAAUCAGGGAACGAAAGUUAGGGGAUCGGAGACGAUCAGAUACCGUCGUAGUCUUAACCAUAAACUAUGCCGACUAGGGAUCGGGCGGUGUUAUUAUUUUGACCCGUUCGGCACCUUACGAGAAAUCAAAGUUUUUGGGUUCUGGGGGGAGUAUGGUCGCAAGGCUGAAACUUAAAGACAUUGACGGAAGGGCACCACCAGGCGUGGAGCCUGCGGCUUAAUUUGACUCAACACGGGGAAACUCACCAGGUCCAGAUUUGAUAAGGAUUGACAGAUUGAGAGCUCUUUCUUGAUUUCAAAGGUGGUGGUGCAUGGCCGUUCUUAGUUGGUGGAGUGAUUUGUCUGCUUAAUU
Molecule: ribosomal RNA, 1197 nt
Filed under: Physcia aipolia
Lineage: Eukaryota; Fungi; Ascomycota; Lecanoromycetes; Caliciales; Physciaceae
Description: SSU rRNA
Rfam family: Eukaryotic small subunit ribosomal RNA
Source: RNAcentral